UGUCAAGGGUCAAGUGUCAACCCACGACCUUCCGCUUACCGGGCAGAUGCCAUGACCACUAGGCUAUCCUGGAC
Molecule: non-coding RNA, 74 nt
Organism: Cordylochernes scorpioides
Lineage: Eukaryota; Metazoa; Arthropoda; Arachnida; Pseudoscorpiones; Chernetidae
Source: the annotation of a GenBank genome assembly